RNAcentral lists this ribosomal RNA (1521 nucleotides) under uncultured Planctomycetales bacterium. RNAcentral's name for it is "16S ribosomal RNA". It matches the Rfam family "Bacterial small subunit ribosomal RNA". The record is from RNAcentral. Lineage: Bacteria; Pseudomonadati; Planctomycetota; Planctomycetia; Planctomycetales.
CAUGCAAGUCGAACGAGGAUAUAUCCUUCGGGAUAUAAGCCGAGUGGCGCAAGGGUGAGUAAUGCAUAGAUUACCUGCCUCUAGGAUAAGGACAACUUUGUAAAAACGAAGCUAAUACUUAAUAAUACAAAAGAAAAUAAUUUUCUUUUGUCAAUGGGAGGGUAGCAAUACCUUUUGCCUAGAGAGGGGUUUAUGUCCUAUCAGCUUGUUGGUGGGGUAAUGGCCUACCAAGGCGAAGACGGGUAGCCGGUCUUAGAGGAUGGUCGGCCACACUGGGACUGAGACACUGCCCAGACUUCUACGGAAGGCUGCAGUCGAGAAUCUUUCGCAAUGCCCGAAAGGGUGACGAAGCGACGCCGCGUGAGUGAGGAAGGCCUUAGGGUUGUAAAGCUCUGUCAGGAGUUAAGAAAUAUAAGUGUGUUAAUACCACGUUUAUUUGACGAAGGCUCCAAAGGAAGCCACGGCUAACUCUGUGCCAGCAGCCGCGGUAAUACAGAGGUGGCAAGCGUUGUUCGGAAUUAUUGGGCGUAAAGAGCACGUAGGUGGGUUUGUAAGUCAGAUGUGAAAGCCUUCUGUUCAACGGAAGAAUUGCAUCUGAAACUGCAAGUCUUGAGUGUAGGAGGGGAGAAUGGAACUUCUGGUGGAGCGGUGAAAUGCGUAGAUAUCAGAAGGAACGCCGGCGGCGAAAGCGAUUCUCUGGCCUAUUACUGACGCUCAGUGUGCGAAAGCUAGGGGAGCAAACAGGAUUAGAUACCCCGGUAGUCCUAGCCGUAAACGAUGGGCACUAAGUAGAGGGAAUUACCGAUGUUCUCUCUGCCGUAGCUAACGCAUUAAGUGCCCCGCCUGGGGAGUACGGCCGCAAGGCUAAAACUCAAAAGAAUUGACGGGGGCUCGCACAAGCGGUGGAGCAUGUGGCUUAAUUCGAUGCAACGCGAAAAACCUUACCGGGGCUUGACAUGGUAGAAGUAGGAACCCGAAAGGGUAACGAACGGUAUCCAGUCCAUAGCUAUCACAGGUGUUGCAUGGCUGUCGUCAGCUCGUGUCGUGAGACGUUGGGUUAAGUCCCCUAACGAGCGAAACCCUUGUUUUUAGUUACCAGCGGGUUAUGCCGGGUACUCUAGAAAGACUGCCGUCGUCAAGACGGAGGAAGGUGGGGAUGACGUCAAGUCAUCAUGGCCCUUAUGCCCCGGGCUGCACACGUGCUACAAUGGUCGGUACAAACGGAAGCGAAGCCGAGAGGUGAAGCGGAUCCUAAAAAGCCGAUCUCAGUUCGGAUUGGAGGCUAAAAUUCGCCUCCAUGAAGUUGGAAUCGCUAGUAAUCGCGGAUCAGCAAUGCCGCGGUGAAUAUGUUCCCGAGCCUUGUACACACCGCCCGUCAAGCCACCCAAGCAGGAUGCACCCGAAAACAUUAUAUCUAACCAGGGCAACUUGGAGGAAAGUGUUGAAGGAGUGUUUUGUGAGGAGGACUAAGUCGUAACAAGGUAGUCGUAGGAGAACCUGCGGCUGGAUCACCUCCUUUCU